Tubulinosema ratisbonensis is the source of this 72-nucleotide non-coding RNA. Lineage: Eukaryota; Fungi; Microsporidia; Tubulinosematidae. The record is from the annotation of a GenBank genome assembly.
GGUCCUAUAGUGUAGAGGUUAUCACAUAAGAUUCUGAUUCUUGAAACCCGUGUUCGAUUCACGGUAGGACCU